CUUUAAAAACAAAUUAAAAUCAGUCAAGGGAAGAGAUGCAAGGGCAGAGUCCAGGAGGGGUCCAAGCACGGAGCUUCUGGUUGUCCUUUCUGCAUGGAGUCAUGGAGUCCUCAUCAUGAUAUGUUCAUGAUAUGCUCAUAGUAUUGCCAAGAAGGGAAGCUUACCCAAGCCUUUGGUGUCCAGAGUUUUUACUGGAGCUUGAUCACAUAUGGCCCACAUGGCUGACCUUUGGUCUCCGGCCCCUUCUGGAGGUUGGAACUCACAUGGUGUGUCCCAAAGCCUCUGUCAUAAAUCACAUUAUUAGACUGUCCAAUGACCUAAGCCCCAAGCUCACAAAAACACUCUUGUUGGGCAGGACAUUCCAGGGACCUAGAGAUCACCUCUCCACAGUUGAGGACAAAGGCCAGACCUCUGUUGGGUAUUGUUACCAUCCUCAUGAACAGAUGAAGAAAUUGAGGCAAAGAGAGCAACUUCCCCAAGGUCAUCUAACCCCCAGGUGGCCCCAGAGAUGGAACUGGUUCUGUUGGAUUCCAGAGCAUCAAGCCCUUAACCACUGUUCCGCAAUGGAUUGGGGCAGUCCAGUGAGAUCAUGGCAACGGACAGGCCAUUUCCAGAAGAGGAUUUAGCUUGAAAUCAGGCUUAGAGUGAGGCAUGAGAUGAUAAGAUAAAAUGACACUGAAUAAUCUGUGAAAAACGCAGUAGAAAGCCACUGCAAGUUCAAAUGGUGAAAGAGAUCAUUGUUAAAGAUACAGGUAAAAUAGUUCAGAGGAAGUAAUGGUAUGUGACUUCUGAGGCUGGCUCAUAAAAGGUGCUGCAGCUCCCUCCUGGUUCUCCUGGGACACUGGCUCUGUGGGAAGUCAGCCACCAUGUAAGAAGUCUGACAAUCCUGAGACCACCUGCUGGAGAGAACACGUGUAAACAAUUCAGGAGACAGCCCAAGCUGAGCUCCCAGCCAAGUGCCCAGCAUCGACUGCCAGCCAUGCGAGUGAGCCAACUUGGGCGUCUGGCCCAAUCGUGCCUUCAGACGACUGCAGUCCCAGCCAGCAUCUAAUUGCGUCCGCGUGAGAGAUUCCAAGAUAAAACUGCCCACCAGAGCUCUCCCAGUUUCCUGACUCAUAAAAUCAACAAGCAAAAUAAAAUGGUUGUUGUUUUAUACCACUAAGUUUUGGGGGUAAUUUCUUAUGCAGCAGUAGUAACUGAAACACUGAUGAAGUAGUAAACCAAAACUAAACAUACACAGAACAAUAAAAUUGCUUUCAUUUUUUGAGAAUAUAA
This 1275-nucleotide long non-coding RNA is filed under the name Equus caballus (horse). RNAcentral's name for it is "lncRNA (ENSECAG00000055059.1)". Lineage: Eukaryota; Metazoa; Chordata; Mammalia; Perissodactyla; Equidae. The record is from RNAcentral.